ACGUCCCCACCCUAUCUGCUCACCCCCUUCCCCCUAGCGUCGUUCCCUUAUUCCUUCCUUCUCAGUUUCUCUAUUUUGAGCGACAUACACACAUAUGACACCCCUUUCUUCUCACUUCCACUUUCCCCAAUUGAAAAUCCUCUCCUUUUUGCCUCUAGCCUUUAACCUUUAGACUCUUCUCAUUUUGCUAUCUUGUCUCCUCUCUUUACUCCUCGGUGGUCUGUGUUUUGAAGGCUUGAAGUCAAAGCCUUUGGGUGUUGGGUCAAUCGAUUUUUUACUCUUCUUCUUUAUUAAGUCUUCUAUUCUGUAAGUAUAGUAUACUGUACAUUUGCAUGUUUGAUUUUAUCUUUUAAUUUUUUUCAAUUAAUUGUUCUCCAACUUAGAUAGUACAUGAGAAUUCGAUUGCGAUUUUCUUUUCUAAUUUAGAUCUUGGCAAUUAUAUAUAAUCAAAGAUUAAGCAUCUGUUUUGUAAGUUUAAGCAUCUAUCAUGAAAGUUUCAAAAUCCUUCAAAAUGGGGUUUUAUGAACACUUUGAAUUAAGUUAUAUUAUAUAGAUGUUUCUGCUUGUAAAAAUGAAAAAAAAAAAAUCUCUAGGAAAUGAGCAUUAGAUAGAAUAUCUUGUGAAUGUGUAUGUGAAUGUGUUUAAUAGGCAUUUUAAUUAGUGAUAGUGAUUCUCUUGCGAUUCGUCUGUGUAUGAAUUAAUGAAUGUGAAAUAGGUAAUCCUAAACUAUCUAAUUUGCUUGGCAAUUUUUGGCUUAUUACAGUAAUCUCAUUUUAUGGCCUGUGUUGUUUAAUCAAUUUCUUUGGGGAUUGCUGCUAUUGGAUACUUGUAAUAACUUGUGCUCUCUCUACUGUGUGUCUACAAUCCCUUGGAAUAACCUGUUUGUUUAAUUUGAUCGUUUAACUUACCACAUACAAGUUAAUUUUUAUUUAAAGAUGGCGCAAUAAGAAGAAGUAAAUAAGGAUACUUUGUCUAUGCAACCUCCUUGAUGUAGUCAUAUCAUACAGGUAUUUAGGAAUCAUAUUCAUUGAUUUUAUUAAUAUUUAGUUACUUUUAUGUUUAUUUUCAAAUGUUUUUAGUUAUCCUUUAAAUUUUGUUUUAAUUUGGUCUGAUUCUAUGAUUUUGGCCUUUAUCAAGAAUGUUUCGAUGAUCCGAGAAGGCAUGAAUGGAAUUAGAAAAAAUUUUGAAGCAUUAGAAUGCAGUUUUGAGACCAUUUAAAAUUACGUAGCCCAUGUAAUAUGUUACACGACUCGUGUGACUAGAGACAUAAAAUUACAUGGCCCAUGUAAUAAUUACAUAGCCCAUGUAAAUUUUUGAGCUCCAGAAACUUCAAAAAUUCAAGCGACAGAGAGUUACAUAGGAUAGGGCCAUGUAAAUUAAAACGAUUACAAGGCCUAUGUUGUUUUCGAUGAUAUUAUUCCAAAUUUGCCUUCCCAUGAUUCUUGGUUUUUCCUGGAGGUUUUUUAAGCUUAUUUGGACUUUGAAAUAAGGGUUUUACACCAUAUAUAAAUACAAUAGGUCAGGGUUUUAAGAGUGAUCAUCCUUUUUACAUUCAAGGGAGCACAUUACCUUUAAGGGAGGUGAGAGGAGAAACGGAUCUGCAAGGUUUUCAAAAGAAAUUCCAGUUAAGUUCCAAAAGUCCAAGGUUGCAAUUUUUCAUCUAGGUUCUUUCAUUCUAUUUCUUCUCAUGUAUUUUCUUUAUUAUUUUAUAAACUUGAUUGUAAAACUUAUCAUGUGUAAGCAGUUUCUUUAUUCUAGGAUUAGAGAUAUAACACUUUGAAUUCAGUUAUGAAUUUAAUUUGAUCUUAUUUAAUAAAUUGGAAUUUUG
Molecule: unclassified non-coding RNA, 1828 nt
Filed under: Hevea brasiliensis (rubber tree)
Lineage: Eukaryota; Viridiplantae; Streptophyta; Magnoliopsida; Malpighiales; Euphorbiaceae
Source: RNAcentral